UACGUAGGUGACAAGCGUUGUCCGGAUUUACUGGGCGUAAAGAGCGCGCAGGCGGUCGAUCAAGUCGAGUGUGAAAGCCCCCGGCUCAACUGGGGAGGGUCAUUCGAUACUGAUCGACUCGAAGGCAGGAGAGGGUAGUGGAAUUCCCGGUGUAGUGGUGAAAUGCGUAGAGAUCGGGAAGAACAUCGGUGGCGAAGGCGCUCUACUGGACCACAACUGACACUCAGGGACGAAAGCUAGGGGAGCGAAUGGG
This 253-nucleotide ribosomal RNA is filed under the name uncultured bacterium. Its description in RNAcentral is "partial 16S ribosomal RNA". It matches the Rfam family "Bacterial small subunit ribosomal RNA", at positions 524 to 776 of the family's 1533-position model. The record is from RNAcentral.